CAGGCCUAACACAUGCAAGUCGAACGGUGGCAGCAAUGCCAUAGUGGCAAACGGGUGCGUAACGCGUAAGCAACCUGCCCACUACUGGGGGAUAGCCCGGCGAAAGCGGGGGUAAACCCGCAUGGUCCUCGAGAGUCACCUGGCUUUUUAGGUAAACAUUUAUGGGUAGUGGAGGGGCUUGCGUCUGAUUAGCUAGUUGGCGGGGUAAGGGCCCACCAAGGCGACGAUCAGUAGGGGUUCUGAGAGGAUUGGCCCCCACAUGGGUACUGAGACACGGACCCAACUCCUACGGGAGGCAGCAGUAGGGAAUAUUGGGCAAUGGAGGCAACUCUGACCCAGCCAUGCCGCGUGGAGGAUGACGGCGCUCAGCGUUGUAAACUCCUUUUAACUGGGAAGAACGGCAGGGGCGAGCCCCUGCGUGACGGUACCAGUGGAAUAAGCACCGGCUAACUCCGUGCCAGCAGCCGCGGUAAU
This 474-nucleotide ribosomal RNA is filed under the name uncultured bacterium. RNAcentral's name for it is "bacterial SSU rRNA". It matches the Rfam family "Bacterial small subunit ribosomal RNA", at positions 43 to 524 of the family's 1533-position model. The record is from RNAcentral.